This 1230-nucleotide ribosomal RNA is filed under the name metagenome. RNAcentral's name for it is "bacterial LSU rRNA". It matches the Rfam family "Bacterial large subunit ribosomal RNA", at positions 1622 to 2839 of the family's 2925-position model. The record is from RNAcentral.
GCGCUUCAGUCUAGAGUUGACCGUACCGCAAACCGACACAGGUGGGCAGGAUGAAAAUUCUAAGGCGCUUGAGAGAACUCAGGAGAAGGAACUCGGCAAAUUAACACCGUAACUUCGGGAGAAGGUGUGCCCCGGUAGCGUGUAGAGACUUGCUCUCGAAGCGCGAUGGGGUUGCAGUGAAAUGGUGGCUGCGACUGUUUAAUAAAAACACAGCACUCUGCAAACACGAAAGUGGACGUAUAGGGUGUGACGCCUGCCCGGUGCCGGAAGGUUAAGUGAUGGGGUGCAAGCUCUUGAUCGAAGCCCCGGUAAACGGCGGCCGUAACUAUAACGGUCCUAAGGUAGCGAAAUUCCUUGUCGGGUAAGUUCCGACCUGCACGAAUGGCGUAACGAUGGCCACACUGUCUCCUCCUGGGACUCAGCGAAGUUGAAAGGUUUGUGAAGAUGCAAUCUACCCGCGGCUAGACGGAAAGACCCCAUGAACCUUUACUGUAGCUUUGCAUUGGACUUUGAACCGGUUUGUGUAGGAUAGGUGGGAGACUGUGAAGCCGGGACGCUAGUUUCGGUGGAGUCAACCUUGAAAUACCACCCUGAUUUGUUUGAGGUUCUAACCUUGGUCCGUGAAUCCGGAUCGGGGACCGUGCAUGGUAGGCAGUUUGACUGGGGCGGUCUCCUCCCAAAAGGUAACGGAGGAGUACGAAGGUACGCUUAGGGCGGUCGGACAUCGCCCACAAAGUGCAAUGGCAAAAGCGUGCUUGACUGCGAGACCCACAAGUCGAGCAGGUACGAAAGUAGGUCAUAGUGAUCCGGUGGUUCUGUAUGGAAGGGCCAUCGCUCAACGGAUAAAAGGUACUCUGGGGAUAACAGGCUAAUUCCUCCCAAGAGUUCAUAUCGACGGGGGAGUUUGGCACCUCGAUGUCGGCUCAUCACAUCCUGGGGCUGUAGUCGGUCCCAAGGGUAUGGCUGUUCGCCAUUUAAAGUGGUACGCGAGCUGGGUUUAAAACGUCGUGAGACAGUUUGGUCCCUAUCUGCCGUGGGCGCUGGAAAUUUGAAGGGGGCUGCUCCUAGUACGAGAGGACCGGAGUGGACGAACCUCUGGUGUACCGGUUAUGACGCCAGUCGUAUCGCCGGGUAGCUAAGUUCGGAAGAGAUAAACGCUGAAAGCAUCUAAGCGUGAAACUCGCCUUAAGAUAAGAUUUCCCGGAGUCUUGAACUCCCUGAAGGGUCGUC